Molecule: long non-coding RNA, 383 nt
Filed under: Carica papaya (papaya)
Lineage: Eukaryota; Viridiplantae; Streptophyta; Magnoliopsida; Brassicales; Caricaceae
Description: long non-coding RNA (CPAP_LNC012440)
Source: RNAcentral
GGGGUCGUCCAAAGUGAUGUUUAAAUACCCCCUCCCAUCUACAUGGUUGUCCAUCCGAGCCUGCGUGGAUCAUCCUUAGCCAUCCGAUCUCGCUUAGAUGGAAAACAAAUAUGCGUCAUUCGAUUGAAGAUGUGCAGAUCGUUCGAUCGCGCUUAUCCAAGAAAUCAAUCUAAACCGUUUAUGCGCGUGAGAGUGGACAUGGGUCGUUCAAUCGCCCGGGUGGCGCUCUUGUGGAGCCCCUAUUUGUGUGUCUGCCACGCGGUGCAUCCUGACUCACCGUGCUGCUGACAUCGCUAUCUUACGUGGCCCGUACUUUCUCUUUUUACGAUUUAACUCCUGUUUUUAAACUUUUCUUUCAAAUAUCCCCCCAUUUAUUUACAGUU